This 216-nucleotide ribosomal RNA is filed under the name Glomeromycotina sp. RNAcentral describes it as "partial small subunit ribosomal RNA". The stretch from base 40 to 216 matches the Rfam family "Eukaryotic small subunit ribosomal RNA", at positions 686 to 864 of the family's 1831-position model. Lineage: Eukaryota; Fungi; Glomeromycota. The record is from RNAcentral.
GGGUCAGUAGGUUGGUCGUGCCACCGGUACGUACUGGUCUCACUGAUUCCUCCUUCCUGAAGAACCGUAAUGCCAUUAAUUUGGUGUUGCGGGGAAACAGGACUGUUACUUUGAAAAAAUUAGAGUGUUUAAAGCAAGCUAACGCUUGAAUACAUUAGCAUGGAAUAAUGAAAUAGGACGAUCGAUCCUAUUUUGUUAGUUUCUAGGAUUGACGUA